Non-coding RNA from Callithrix jacchus (white-tufted-ear marmoset), 17742 nucleotides. The record is from RefSeq and is a predicted model, not a curated record. NCBI's taxonomy places the organism in Eukaryota, Metazoa, Chordata, Mammalia, Primates, Cebidae.
CCCUCCUUUGGGGACAGACCCUUCCUCUGGCCCAGGGAAAAACAGAAUGACCCCUUAAUGUGCCAGGACCCGCCAGAGAUCUUGUGGAUGUGGGGAGGCACUUUCUGGGACCCUCAGUGGGCUUCUGUUCUGCCCCGUGCUGAGGCCACUGGCAUCUUCACCUCCUCCUUCACCCAGAUGCGGCCCUCCUGUGGGCAGCUUCCUCCAGCGGCCUUUCUCAUCACAGUGCUGUGGGCGCCCUCAGCCGUGGUUGCUUUCAGCCUUGCCAUCUUGAGCAAUGCCUGCAGCCUCAGCACUGUGUCUUUAGGGUACUGAGGUGAACAUGCCAGGGCCCAGGAGGCCUAGGUGGGUGGAUCAUGAGGUCAGGAGUUCGAGAUCAGCCUAACGUGAAACCCCAUUUCUAUUAAAAAUUCAAAAACUAGCCGGGUGUGGUGGUGCGUGCCAAUAAUCCCAGCUACUCAGGAGGCUGAGGCAGGAGAAUCACUUGAACUGGAAGGCGGAGGUUGCAGUGAGCCGAGAUUGCACCACUGUACUCCAGCCUGGGCGACAGAGCGAGAUUCCAUCUCAAAAAAAAAAAAAGAAAUUCCAGGGUCCGUGCCCUCAAGAGUAUGGAUGGGGAGCAAAGCUGGGAGAGCAAUAAGGCCCAGGUCCUGGACAGGGCUGGGAGACACCAGGGGGCCCCACGUGUCCCAGGCAGGCAGGUGGCGUGGUCCCAGGCAGUGUUCAGAACACUUACGGAACCAGACUGGGUUUCCACAGUUCGCAGGCGGGUAACCCAGGAUGUUGUCUAUGAGAUGCUCACACACCUGAGGGGGGCUCCCUGGGAUUUCCAAGAGCUCUUGGAGCCAAAGCUCACGUUACAACACAGACCUGGGAAUAAAUGGGUGUGUUCCAGGCACCUGCCUUUCUGGGACAGGAGCUCAGCCGAGACACUCUUGGGUUCCCACAGUAUUCAUGGGUGAACGGAUUUCUGCCCCCGCAGUCUUCCUGAUGCUCCAGCGUGGCUGGUUUAGGGUUGCGCCCUUCACGGAGGCAGGAGAGUUAUGCACUUUCCCCCACCGGCCGCCUCAGCUGGGCUGGGACCUGGACGCCAUCCUCUGGCCUAGUCCCCUCGCCCUGGUCGUCACAACCAGCCACGCUGUCCAGCUGGGCCCGGAUGUCCUCAGGCUCUGGGGAGUUUGUUGAAGCCACUGUUUCAGGCUUCCCGUGUGUUUUCCCAGCUGGAAGAUAUUUCUAGGAUGGUGGACGCAGCCCCCAGAGCUCUGCCCCCUCUCUCCACACAGAGCAGGGCAGAUAUCGGGGGCAUGCUUCCCGGGCUGACGAUAAGGAGCAUGGUGGUCGGGGGCACCUCUGAAGACAAGGUGUCCGUGUGCCGUGGGUUCCGAGGCUGCAUGCAGGGAGUGAGGAUGGGGUGAUGCCCACCAAUGUGGCCACCCUGAACAUGAACAACGCCCUCAAGGUCAGGGUGAAGGACGGCUGUGAUGUGGAGGACCCUUGUACCUCGAGCCCCUGUCCCCCCCACAGCCACUGCCACAAUGCCUGGGAGGACUACAGCUGCGUCUGUGACAGAGGUGGGACCUUCAGUGACAGGGACUCCUCUCAUGGCUGAAACACAGGACGGGGCUCAGUUUGGACAUUGAUGUCCCCAGCCGAUUCCCUGUGGUUCCGUGGAGUGCUGAGCUUUAUUUUAUAACAAGUGGGCCCCUCCUGGAGACAGACUCAGCCUCUUCCUUACUGGAGGCACAGGGAGUGGUCUAGGCCCUCUCCUCAGCACAUGAGGUGACAAUCUGGGUGCGGUGGCUCAUGCCUGUAAUUCCAGCACUUUGAGAUUCAGAGGUGGGCGGAUCACUUGAGGCCAGAAGUUCGAGAACUGCCAGGCAACAUGGUGAAACCCUGUCUCUACCAAAAAAAUACAAAAAUUAGCCAGGUGUGGUGGCAUGCACCUGUGGUCCCAGCUACAUGGGAGGCUGAGGUGGGAAGAUCACUGGAGCCUGGGAAGCAAAGUCACAGUCAGCUGAGAUCACGCCACUGCACUUCAGCCUGGGCAACAGAGAAAGACUCUGUCUCCAAAAACAAACAAAAAAGCCUAGUGAAAAGUAUACAUUAAAAAAAAUUGGCCGGGCACUGUGGCUCACGCCUGUAAUUCCACUAUUCUGGGAGGCCAAAGACAGGCAGAUCAUGUGAAGUUGGGAGUCAGCUCAUCCGUUGACGGAUGCCUGGGUCAUGUCCACCUUUUGGCCUGUGUGAAUGGUGCUGUUGUGAAUGUGGGUGUGCAAAUAUCUGGGUCCUUGCUUUUAGACUUUUGGGUGUAGAGCCAGAAGUGGGCUUGCUGGGUCAUGUGGUAAAUCCUAUGACCUAGCCUGGCCAACAUGGUGAAACCACGUCUCUACUAAAAAUAGAAAAAGCAACCAGGCAUGGUGGUGCGCGCCUGUAGUCCUAGCUACGCUGGAGGCUGAGGCAGGGGAAUCACUUGAACCUGGGAGGCAGAGGUUGCGGUGAGCCAAGAUCGGGCAACUGCACUCCAGCCUGGGUGACAGGAAACUGUCUCAAAAAAAAAAAAAAAAAAUCAGCAGCUAGGCCUGUUUCCUCAUCUGUGAGUGGAGUCUUUGGAAGACAGUCUGCAGUGACUCACCCAUUGCUCCCAGGGGCCAGGUCCCAGGCUUGGGAGAUGUUGGGCCAUGAUCUUGGGUGUCCAGCAGGCAGGUCCUCCAGACCCUCAGGAGUGAGGCUCUAGAAGGGUGGGUGUCAUGGGUCCUGCCUCCCUCCAGGCUCACUGCAGACAGGUGUAUGUACACGUGGGGUGCAGGAAGCUGGAAAUCGAUUCUGUUCUCAAGAUGGUCAGUCAACCAGGCAUGGUACUUUGCGCCUGUAAUUUUAGCAGUGUGGGAGGCCAAGGUGGGCAGACUGCUUGAGCCCAGGAGUUCGAGACCAGCCUGGGCACUGUAGUGAGACCCCUUCUCUAUUAAAAAAAUAAAUAAAUUAGCCAGGUGUGGUGGCAUGCUCUUGUAUUCCCAGCUACUCAGGAGGCUGAGGUGGGAGGAUUGUUUGAGCCCAGGAGAUUGAGGCUACAGUGAGCUGAGAUUGCACCACUGCACUGCAUUCUGGGUGAGAGAGUGAGACCGGGUCUCAAAAAAUAAAUAUAAAUAAAUAGGCUGGGCACAGUGGCUCGUGCCUGUAAUCCCAGCACAUUGGGAGGCUGAGGCAGGUGGAUCACUUGAGGUCAGGAGUUUGCGACCAGCCUGGCCAACAUGGCGAAAUGCCACCUUUACGAAAAACACAAAAAGCAGCCAGGCGUGAUGGUGCACACGUGUAAUCCUAGUACUCAGGAGGCUGAGACAGGAGAAGUGGCUGAAGCUGGGAGGCAGAGGUUGCAGUUAGCCAAGAUCACGCUGCUGCACUCCAGCCGGGGAGACAGCGUGAAACUCCAUCUCAAAAAAAUACUAAUUUAAAAAAAUUAAAUAAAUAACUAAGGCCAGCCAAUCAGUGGGACAGUUGUAUUCAUUUUGAAAACAGCGACGGGGCACAGUGGCUCAUGCCUGUAAUCCCAGCACUUUUGGAGGCUGAGGCGGGUGGAUCACGAGGUCAAGAGAUCGAGACCGUCCUGGUCAACAUGGUGAGACCCUGUCUCUACCAAUAAUACAAAAAAUUAGCUGGGCAUGAUGGCGCGUGCCUGUAAUCCCAGCUACUCAGGAGGCUGAGGCAGGAGAAUUGCCUGAACCCAGGAGGCGGAGGUUGCAGUGAGCCGAGAUCGCGCCAUUGCACUCCAGCCUGGGUGACAAGAGCGAAACUCCAUCUCAAAAAAAAAGAAAAGAAAACAGCAAGGGUUCAAGGAAGCUGUGGGGGUUAUGUCUGAUUAAAGGAACUGUCCCCCCAGUUCUUGCUGUCGACAUCUUUGACAAGCUGAACUUCACGGGAGCCACAGUGCCACGGUUCGACGCCAUUCAGGAAGAUUUCCCCAGGGAGCUGCAGUCCUCCGUCUCCUUCCCAGCUGACUUCUUCAAACCACCCGAAGAAAAAGAAGGGCCCCCUGGGGAGGCCGGCCGGCCGGAGGACCACCCCGCAGACCACGCGCCCGGGGCCGGGCACCGAGAGGGAGGCUCCGAUCAGCAGGCGGAGGCGACACCCUGAUGAUGCUGGCCAGUUCGCCGUCGCUCUGGUCAUCAUUUACCGCACCCUGGGGCAGUUCCUGCCCGAGCACUAUGACCCAGACCGCCGAAGCCUUCGCAUCAGUGGGACGGGAGGGUGGUCUGCCCAGGGAUGCGAGCUCCUGUCCAGAAACCGGACGCAUGUCACGUGCCAGUGCAGCCACACAGCCAGCUUCGCGGUGCUCAUGGACAUCUCCAGGCAUGAGGUGGGCAUCCGCCUGUGGCCGCUGUGCCCACCAGGCCUACCCCCCGAGUCUGCCCCCUCCUCAAAUGAAAUCUUCCACCGCAAGUGUUUUGAACAAAGCACAUCAACCAGUUAAAAACCAUUCCAGGACUGGCCAGAGUCCAUGAGGAUUUCCAUAACAAAGCCCCGUGACAAGGGUUUUCAGAGCCCUGCUUAUGCUUUAUACCCUGGGAUGACAGACCCAAAGCUCUCAGAGGAGCUCCCCAAUCUGCCCCUCGCUUCAGAGUGGGUCUGCUGGAAGGUGCCGCUGUCCAACUGCUUUAAUUGUAAGGGAGGUGACAGCUGCUGGGCACAGUGGGUGCGCUCCCUCGGGGCCACACGCAGGGCCGCAGGACAAAAGGCUGGGCGGCUAAUGUUUAGCCUCUGGCAUUUUAAGCAGCCUGGGAAUGUGAGCCGGCUAUUGUCAGCCUGCAGAUGAAUUGGGGAGUGGCCUGGUUGCUGUCCUGGCCUCCCAUUACCCAGACAGGAAGGAGGUGGGAGCCAGCCUGGGCACGGCCUGUGGGGGACUCGGUGUCUAGGAGGCAGAACCAGAGGCCUGGGUGGCCUCCCCUGGCCCCUCCCCAGGGCCGCGCUGUGGCUCAGGCACCCAGACCACCGUCCUUCCCGAGGGCUUUCUGAUGUGAAGUGGCCCUGGUUUCUGUCACAUUCUUGGAAGGGUGAGUCAGUCCUGAGGCAGGGCUGGAGGAGGGCUGUGGCUUUCUAUGCACUGUGCAUGAGAAGCUGCCCUGCCUGUGCCCCCGUCUCACAGGCAGAGGGCACUCCCCAGCAGGACCCAGCCUGGAGAGGGCGUCAGUGGUUAGUGGACUUGGUUCAUAUAAGGGCGGGGUUGGAGGUGUUCUCAUGGCCAGGAUGCCAGGCGACAUGCGGACCAAGGAAGCUGAAAUAGAGGCAGAAGAAAGGAGGCUGGAGUGGGAGUCUGAGGUGCCCAUGGUCCAGGUGCCCCAAAGCCAGAGUCUCUGAACAGUCCCCGAGCCAGUGGAGGGAGCCUGGGGUAUUGCUGCAGGCCCCAGGGACACCCAGGGCCCAGAGCGUUGAAGGAGCCACAGGAGGGGCAGUUCCAGGCCCAGGCCCAUGAGCGCUCGGCCUCCCUGGCCCAGCCUGAUCUUGGCUUCCUGGCUCAGUCCCAUAUGGUAAACAACCCCUUCCAGAAGAUACCAGAGAACCAGAGCUUGUAAAUGCAGAAACGCCCCAGGGGCCUGGGGCCUGGACAGGUGUCCUGGUUUGUAAAAGCACAGAAAACACAGCAACGUGAGCACACGCUGCCGGGCUGCACACUUCAAAGCACCCAAGAGGGCACGUUUUAUGCCUUGUGUAUUUUAGCACAAUUUUUCUUUUCUUUUUUUUUUUCUUGAGACAGAGUUUUGUUCUUGUCGCUAAGGCUGGAGUGCAGUGGCACAACCUCAGGUCACUGCAACCUCCGUCUCCUGGAUUCAAGUGAUUCUCCUGCCUCAGCCUCCAAAGUAGCUGGGAUUACAGGCUCCCACCACCAUACCCGGCUAAUUGUUGUAUUUUUGUAGAGAUGGGUUUCACCAUGUUGGCCAGGCAGGUCCCGAACUCCUGACCUCAGGUGAUCCACCUGCCUAGGCCUCUGAAAGUGCUGGGAUUACAGGUGUGAGCCACCAUGCCCAGCCUUUUUUGCAGUCAAAUGCUCUACCAUUGAGCUAUGCCCCCAGGCCCCCCAUGCCCAGCCUUUUUUAUAAAGACAUGUUCAAUGCCUGUAAGAAAUGCAUAAUAAGGUUGGGUGUGGUGGCUCCAAGCUGUAAUCCCAGCACUUUGGGAGGCUGAGGCAGGCAGAUCACUAGAUCUCACAAGUUUAAGUCUAGCCUGGGAAACAUAGUAAAACCCUGGCUCUACCAAAAAUACAGAAUCUAGCCGGGCAUGGUGAUGCGUGCCUGUAGUCCCAGCUACUUGGCAGGCUAAGGUAGGAGGAUGGCUUGAGCCCAGGAGGCAGAGGCUGCAGUGAGCUGAGAUUGUGCCUCUGCACUCCAGCCUGGGCAACAGAGCCAGACCCUGUCUUAAAAAAAAAAAAAGUAUAGUAACAGAUCUGGAAAUUUGAAAAGUUUAUAUAAUGAGCUGUGAUAGAGACAUGUGGAGGGGGCAUAGGACAUCUGUGUGCUGGUGGUAAUGAUAGAACACGUCAUAGUAAGGGUGAAGCAGGAACAACAGGACGGGUGAGGAGGGUACAGAUGCCCGUUGCCAUGGCAAUUGAAGCAUCAAGCCUGCCAGUCCACAUAACUGAAACCUGAAGCUCCGCCCAUGCUCAGCGAGUUGUUUAGCUUUUCUUCUUUUUAUGUGAUGGAGUUUUGCUCUUGUUGCCCAGGCUGGAGCGCAGUGGAGUGAUCUCAACUCACUGCAACUUCCCCCUCCCAGGUUCAAGCCAUUCUCCUGCCUCAGCCUCCCACGUAGCUGGGAUCUUAAGCGUGCACCACCACAUCUGGCUAAUUUUAUAUUUUUAGUAGAGACAGGGUUUCUCCACGUUGGUCAGGCUGGUCUCGAAGUCCUGACCUCAGGUGAUCCGCCAGCCUUGACCUCCCAAAGUGCUGGGAUUACAAGCGUGAGCCAUUGCACCCAGCCUGUUUAGCUCCUUUAAGCAUUGCUUUUCUCACCUGGGAGGAAGAUGAGGGUCACAUCCGCACUCUCCUCAGAGCUGCCAUCUAAGGAUGAUGUGGAACGUGCUCUCGUGGGUCUGUGAGAAUGCCUGCCGCUUAAUCAGUGCUCAGUAAAAGGUUUUGCUGAACAAAGAAAAUUACAUUCAUGUCGUAUUCCCACAAGUACUCCUUUUCUUUGUAAAGUGAGGGUAAGUCUUUCAGCCAAAAGCGUAAGGCCAUGAUAGAAUUACGAGGAAGUCCAAGAGGUAUUGCAUGCACCUGUGGAGGAGACACGUUUACCUUCCGCGUACGCAGGAAUUGCCUGUGGGGUUUUUAGUUUUUUUUUUUUUUUUUUAGAUGGAGCCUCCUUCUGUUGCCCAGACUGGAGUGUAGUGGUGCCAUCUUGGUUCAAUGCAAGCUCUCUGCUUCCUGGGUUUGAGAGAUUCUCCUGCCUCAGCCUCUUGGGUAGCUCGGAUUACAGGCCCGCCACCACACCCAGCUAACUUUUGUAUUUUUAGUGGAGACGGGGUUUCACCAUGUUGGCCAGGCUGGUCUCAAACUCCUGACCUCAGGUGAUCCACCUGCCUUAGCAGUCCCAUGCAAGCACCCUGGCUGGCGUCCUCCUCGCCGCCACCACCUCUGAUUCACAGAUGGCCAAGAGGAACCUGCCAGGUCACAGGCUGUGGGUGGCGGCGUGGUAUUUACCAGCAGGUCCAAGCACUUCACCACCCUCUUUAUUGGGAGAUGGGGGGGGCCCUUUCUUUUUUUCUUUUGAGAUGGAGUCUCUCUCUCUCACCCAGGCUGGAGUGUAGUGGCAUGAUCUCGGCUCGCUGCAACCUCUGCCUGCCAGUUUCAAGCGAUUCUCCUGCCUCAGCUUCCCUAGUAGCUGGGAUUACAGCCAUGCACCACCAUGCCUGGUUAAUUUCUGUUUUUCAUAGAGACAUGGUUUCACCAUGUUGGCCAGGAUGACCUCAAACUCCUGACCUCAGGUGAUCCACCUGCCCUCUCAAAGUGCUGGGAUUACAGGUGUGAGCCACCAUGCCCGGCCGGGGCCCUUUUCUGAAAUUAUGUAUGGGGAGAGCUGAACCACAUUGGAUCUUCAGCUGCUGAAUUCAGUGACUUUGGGUGCAUUUAACCCUUUACCUCAGUCACCAUUCACACUGUCAGUAGUUGUACAAUGAAUGAGCACCUACUGUGUGCCUGGGGCUGGGAACAUAGCGGGGAAUGGAACGAGCAGUCUGGGUCCCCACCUUCCUGGAGCUGGUGAUUCCACAGCUAAGCAUCCCUGAGGGGUGUUCCCCAUCUUGGGUGACAGCAGAGGCUGCCCUGGAAAGUGGCUGAGAUGGCUGAGAUGGAAAGCUGGAGAGAGGUCCUCCAGGCAGCGGGCUAGGGAGGUGCAGAGACCAGAGCACACCCAGGGGGUGGCAGCAUCCAGUGAGGAGAGCUGAGAACCCUGGCUGGCACAGUCCGGCCGCUGGCAUGGAGCCCAGUGAGGCACCGGUGGCCAUAGCUGGGAAAUCUAGUCUGUGUCCCUGUACUGAGGGUACUAGUCCUGACAGCCCUGUGACUUCACCCUGCCAGUGAGCUCAAGAUAGGACCUCGGGCUCCCACCUGUGAUCCCAGCACUUUGGGAGUCCGAGGUGGGUGGAUCACAAGGUCAGGAGAUCAAGAUCAUCCUGUCUACUAAAAUACAAAAAAAUUAGCCUGGCAUGGUGGCAUGUACCUGUAGUCCCAGCUACUGAGGAGGCUGAAGCAGGGGAAUUGCUUGAACCCGGGCAGCAGAGGUUGCAGUGAGCUGAGACCACGCCACUGCACUUGAGCUUGGUGACAGAGCAAGACUCUGUCUCAAAAAAAAAAAAAAAAUAGGACCUUGCUCAUGACAUAGAGCUUAGAAGGUAAAGUGGGGUCAGAGUCAGCCCACGUGUGGAGCUUACAAGAGGUGUAAAGGUUGAGAAUGAUGAGAAGGGAGAUGACAGAUAAAUACCAGCCGGAGUGAGCCUGGAGCUGUAUACCAUGAGCAGACUAACUCGGCUUGAGGAGGAACGGUGAUAUUUAGAGACAGUGCUGCUAUAAAAAGGUCCAUUCACUGGGAAGAUAUAAACUUACCAUUUUUUUUUUGAGACGGAGUUUUGCUCGUUACCCAGGCUGGAGUGCAAUGGUGUGAUCUUGGCUCACUGAAACCUCCACCUCCUGGGUUCAGGCAAUUCUCCUGCCUCAGCCUCCUGAGUAGCUGGGAUUACAGGCACGUGCCACCAUGCGCAGCUAAUUUUGUAUUUUUAGUAGAGAUGGGGUUUUGCCAUGUCAGUCGGGGUAAUCUCAAUCUCCCAACCUAAGGUGAUCCCCGCCUUGGCCUCCCAAAGUGCUGGAAUUACAGGUGUGAGCCACCUCGCCUGGCCAAAAAAUAGCAUCUCGUGCUGUCUGCUUGAGUUAUCUGAAGAUGGAAGUUAACUGAAAGGUGCUCCCACCAAGGCCAUUCUCCCUCCAACAGGGUGUCUCACUCAGUGGAGACAAUGAGCAGAUAGCACCUAAAUCCCACUGACAAAUUAGGUGAUAACAAAUAUUUGCUUUGAGCUUGUCACACUGCGCUCUUCUAAACAUGGUUUGAAAGGAAAGGCAGUGAGAAAGCCUUGGAAUGUUAUCAUUUACUACAAAGGGAGAGAAUACUUUUUUUCUUUCAAAAUAUCUCUGUGGGUGGCAGUUAUUCAUUCAUUCAUUCAUUAUUUAUUUAAGUUUCACUUGUCACCCAGGCUGGAGUGCAAUGUUCACUGACACCUCCCCCUCCCGGGCUCAAGCAAUUCUCUUGCCUCAGCCUCCUGAGUAGCUGGAAUUACAGGCAUCUGCCACGCCUGGCUAAUUUACAUUUCUAGCAGAGAAGGGGUUUAACCUUGUUGGCCACCAGGCUGGUCAUAAACUUUUGAUCUCAGAUUAUUCACCUGCCUCAGCUUCCCAAAGUGCUGGGAUUACAGGCCUGAGCCACUGUGCCCCGUCAGAUUUUUAAACUAUUCUGUGUCAAUAGUGCAGAUGAACUACCCUUGUGCCCAGGAGAAAGCAGAAGGGCAUUCGAACCUCAGGCCACCAAAGCCGACCCCUGAAACGUGAGCCAUGGUGAGAAGCACAGAGGCAAAGCCCCUUGCCCAGUGUCACAGGAAGUGGUGGAGCUGGAACCUGACCUAGAAGUGUCUGGUGUAUAACAAGCGUGGACAGACUCUGUAGCCUGAAACUCCAAUGUUAUUGAAGGGAAAGAGAAGCACACAAAGCUCUCCAGUGCCCGGUCUCAGCAGCUCUCCCGUCAUUUCCUCCUCCCUGCCCAGGGGCUGAAAGGGCACCUGCUCAGAGGUUGCACAGGUUUCUGUCGGAGGCCUGAACGGUGUCCUGUGUAGCAGCACGAGGUUUCCCUAGCAACCCUACCAGCCAAAUGCACACAUUCCAGAGAAUGCCACAGCCUUCUCCAAGGAAAGCCUCUUCCCUGCAACCAAUCACAGGGGCAUCUGCCUUCACUGCCCUCCUACUCCCCCCACCUAGCAAGUGGCUGGUUUAUGCUCAGGCUCCGUUGAAAGGAUGAAUGAACAAAAGCUUUGUCAGUCCUAUGAAGAGCUUCCAAUCCCCACUGGGCAUCCGCAGCACCGGGCUGCACCUCCAUAGAGCAGGUGUGUUUUCAGAGUAGGAAAGAUCCCGCAUGUUAGGGUCUGGGCCCAUUUUGUGCCUCUAUCCCUAAUGAAGCUCAGCGUGCUGCACUUAGUAGGUGCUCAGAACUGAAAUGAACCAGGGUUUCUUUUUAUCCCAGAUGGAGUUUUGCUCUCAUUGCUCAGGCUGGUUUAAUGGCACAAUCUUGGCUCACUGCAAUUCUCCUGCCUCAGCCUCCCAGUACCUGGGAUGACAGGCACCUGCCACCACCACGUCCAGUUUUUUUUUUAGACGGAGUCUCGCUCUGUUGCCAGGCUGGAGUACAGUGGCAUGAUCUUGGUUCACUGCAACUUCCAACUCACUGGUUAGACUGAUUCUCCUGCCUCAGCCUCCUGAGUAGCUGGGAUUACAGGCACACACCACACCCAGCUAAUUUUUGUAUUUUUAAUAGAAACAGGGUUUCACCAUGUCAGCCAGGAUGGUCUCAAACUCCUGACCUCAGGUGAUCCACCUUUCUAGGCCUCCCAAGGUGCUGGGAUUAUAGGCGUGAGCCACCACGCCAGCCUGAAACCAAGGUUUCUAAGAUACUCUUAGCCUCCUCAGAUCUGGCCCGGCCCACCUUUCCACCUUUCCUUUUCUGCACAACUGACCACAGCUAGCCCAGCCUACGCAACAGCCAGUCUGGCUCCCCCACAAUGCAGAGCCGGCACAGGCCACAGGAGCCAGGCCCAGUCACAUCCGUGGACCCCCUGCCACAGACAAAUGCUACACACAGCUGGUAGCACAUGGCACUGUUUACUGUGGCGCUCGGUGGAAAACAUCUGUAGACCAGCGUACUGCAGUGGUGACCGCUGCCACACAUGCUCAGGGACUUUUAUUAUAUAAAACAUGGGAGGGCGGGAGUUCCACCCGCUCCUUUGUGACAGCAACUGCGCCCUGAAUACAGAGCCUUGUAGGCAUAUGCAGCUUUCGUAUUGCUUCAUGAUUUGAGUUUGUUUCCUUUUAAAAAAAAUGCCUUCUUGCUGCAAGGCUCAAUGCAGCAUAUAGAAAACGGUUAGGAAUACAGGUAAAUUCGGCAACCAGUGUAGACCAGUGAGGACAAGCUCCUCUCUUCUAAAGAAAGGCAGUGAGAAAGCCUCAGAAUUUUAUUUAUUAAAAGAAAAAAAAGAAAAUCUUUUUUUCUGCUUUCAAGAAUAUCUGUGCAGGUGGUAGAUUUUCAACCAUGCUGAAUCAACUGUGCAGGUAAACUAACCUCGGGCCUGGAGGGAGACGGGAUGGGGAUGGGAGGCACGUUCACAGCAGUCCCAAGGUCGGGGGAGGUGUGCGGCAGGGUCUGAAAAGGGGAGGCUGCAGUGUCCGCCUGUCCAUCUGUCUCAGGCUGAAGGAGAAAAGGCUUAUUCAGAGGUUUGGCCUCAGCUCCUUCCGCUUUGCCAUCCACCUCCUCGUCCGAGCAUUCGUUGGGGCAAACGGCAGGUCCCCACACCUGGGGGCAGAGGCAGAGGCAGAGUCAGUGGGGCCUGGCCAGGGAGGCCACAGCACAGCACACAAAUCCCACAGCAAAUUUGAGAGGGAAAUCAGGCGCCUGGCUGCUCCCACCAAACAGAAGCAAGGCAAAGCCUUGGGAGCCACAGCUCAGCUGGACAGGACCGCUCUCAAAGAAAUCUUCCCACAAAAUAGUGGUCAGACAUCUUCAUGCACAACAGCAGCACACAGAGUUCAGGCAAACAGGAACAGUUACAACAGGAAAGGCAGAAAAGUGUAAAAUGCCACCUUUUGUUCCAGCUCAUAAAAGGUGACACCACAGCGAGUACACAGGUGAACCACAGCGGGUUAACACAGACAGGCACGCACUACCACACGGCAGGAAAUUCACAUCAGAUACUGACUACUGAUGCUUAAAAAGAGGCCCGAUGAAGGCCACGCAUGGUGGUGCUUGCUUGUAGUCCCAGCACUUUGGGAGGCCGAGGCUGUCAGACCACGAGGUCAGGAGUUUGAGACCACCCUGGCCAACACAGUGAACCGCCAUCUCUACUAAAAAUACAAAAAUUAGCCAGGCAUGAAGACACGCACCUAUAAUCGCAGCUACUCGGGAGGCUGAGGCAGAAGAAUCGCCUGAACCCAAGAGGCAGAGGUUGUGGUGACACAAGAUUAUGCCACUGCACUCCAGCCUGGGUAAAAGAGCAAGACUCUGACUCAAAUGUAUUUUAAACCUACGGUUAUUCUUGCUACAUGAUAUGACAUAUCAGAGCUGUUUUUAUGUGUUCAUUAUUCUUCAAUUAUUGGUGAGGUGAAAAUUUCCAAGUAUGUAUCCCACACUCUAGGCUGCUUCUCGGAACCAUCAUGCCGCAGCCCAGAAGGCUGGAGCGUCAGGACGCGGCUGAUGCUGGAGUCUGCACUGGGUGAGGCCUUCUGAACUCCCCCAUGCCUGGGCCUGCACUUGCCUGUUUGCUUCUGUGUUUCAUGUACUCAGCCAUGCACCGUUCUGCAAGUUUGCUGUUGGACUAUUGUUUCCACUCACCUCUGAGCCUGUGUCUCCAUUAGUGAGAUGGGGCUGGAAGCACCCAGGACCUUCCCAAGAGGCGCCACCCUGCCAGGUUCCCGCCCCAGAGCCCUCGCAUGUAGCUGGCUCAGCUGGGCACUGCCCGCCCUUACCCGCCACUUCCACAGCUGCUCGAUGGCUUCAUCCCGGUUCUUGUUGGCCGAGUCGAUGCGCGCCUCCAGGUCAAUCUCCAGCUUCUUCCGGGCUGGCCACUGCCAUGGAGUGCCUCUUCCUCUCGUCCUCCAGCUCUGCCUCCAUCUCCCUGCACCUGGAGGAAGGAACACUGACAGCUUGGGAAGCUGGACCCACUCAGAGACCCUGCUCUGGCUCUGAACCCAGGUGCCUCUGCAGGAUCUGCGGGGCCUCCGGAAGCCAGUGGGCAUUACUGACUCAAAAACUCUAAGAAGGUGAGUCACUGACCCGAGGGACAGGGGACCGGACAGGAGGGACAGGGAGGGGAGGCGUGGUCCAGGGCCCUAACACAAUCCAGGUGGAAGGAGGAAAUGGAAGCCUGGGUGAAGCCAGGGCAACCCUGGCCACCGUGGGGUAGCAGGAGCCCACGCACACCUGUCUGACCAGCUGCUGCUGCUUCUCCUCACUCUGCUCGUCCCGGCCCUGCAGGUCCCGCUCGAACUGGAUCUUCAUGGCCUGCAGGUUGACCUCCAGCUGCAGAUUGGCGUUUUCAGUGUCCUGCAGCUCAUCCUCCAGCUCCUCCAGCUGGGUCUUCAACUCCUCCACCUGCUGCUCCAGAAGCCGCCUGGACUUCAGCUCAUGGAUCUGAGCCCCAGAGAGCCCAAGUCAGGAGCAAAGAGACUGGCAGGGACCUGGGUCUGCUAGACCCGGAACGUGUGUAUGCGUUGACCCUCUGUGAUGACCCCGCUCGGGCCCCUCCCAAGGCCUGGCUGCCAGGCCCGGCACUCACGCUCUUGCCCUUGGAGCUCAUGAUGUCCAUCUCCAAGCGGAACUGCUUGUUGAGCCGCUCCGGCUCUACUUUCUGCUCCAUGGCUUCCUUCAGGGCCCGGGCCAGUGACAGCGCCUUGGUCUCCUUCUCUCGGGCCUCGGCCUCGGCCCGGUCACGCUCCUCUGCAUACUUGGCAGAGAUGGUCUUCUCCUCUGCCAGGAGCUGGGAAAGAGAGGGGCACCAUGAGGCUCAGCUCCACAGGCUCCGAGCUACAGCCCCCAGCAGGGCAGAGCAGCUGGGCCCAAGCUAAUUUUUGUAUCCUUAGUAGAGAUGGGGUUUCACCAUGUUGGCCAGGCUGCUCUCGAACUCUUGACCUGGUGAUCUGCCCACCUCGGCUUCCCAAAGUUCUGGGCUUAUAGGCAUAUAAGCCCAUGCCCAGUCAAGAGUGCAUUCUUUAGAGUAUACAGGCCCCACAGUCUCUGCAGAAACGCAACCCCACUACCACAGUGCAACAACCAGAGACUGACACAAGAAUGAUUGUGUGUGUGUGUGUGUUCGGUGCAGCUUUCUCCCCAAAAUGCAGCGGGCUGGACCCGGCCGCCGCAGUUCCAUGCUCGAUGUCUAUCCCACCCCAGGUGUUCACAUCUCCCUCAGCUUCCCGCAGAUCUUUUGGAAUAAGGAGCAAUAUGAAUGCACAAAUAAAUGGUAUAAAUGACAGGAAAAACAGUUCAUUAUAGAAAAUCUGAAAAAAACGUGAAAACCCAGAAAGGAAAAGUUCCUCCUCAACCCACUGCAUGAAGACACCCUCUUCCGCUGGCCUUCUCCCCAAGCCCCUCAACAAGCCAGAGACUAGGGGUCCUCUAAGUGCUGGCCCCGCACGACCCCUCCCGGGCAAGGUCUCGGGGGAGCCCAAGGUUUCUCUGAUGAGGCCCUCGCCUUGGGCUGAGUGCCGGAAGGAGAGAAAAUGCAAAGGAUGGGGUGGAUGGCUACACACCUGGUCAAACUUCUGCUUCUCCAGGUCCACAAGCAGCUCAUCCCGCUCCUGCUGGGCCUGGCGCUUGGCACGCUCCGCGGCUGCCAGUUCCUGCCACAAAGAUCCAGAAUGUGACCUGAAGGCAGCCACAGCCCCACAAGACCAUCCUUCCCAGCCCUGGGCACCCUCCUCUCAAGCCCUUCCCCAGCCCCACCUCCCCAGAAAGCUCUUCCUCCAGGAUUCCUCUAGCUCACAGGGCUGGUGCCCCCCUAAAGUCACAGCUUAAAAGCAUUGUAUGUUUAUAAAACUCAACUACAUUUAAGUGCUAGGAAUCAAGCCAGGUGCCAGGGUGUGUUGAUGACUAACAAGUGUCCUGGCCUAACCAGGGCAGACCACGUGGACAGAGCCGCUCACUGCUGCCCCGGCCCGUUCUGGGUAGCCAGAGCCCAGAGUCAGCUCCGGAGCCUACAGGCAGGAGAUGGCUGCACCCUGGACGCAGUCACACCCGGCAAGUCACACUGCAGGGCACCCUCUAGACCCAGGAAACACUUCAGGACUGGCUCAGGUGCAACACGGACAGGGCAGCCAUGGGGAUGCUGAGACCCUCCCUCACCAGAACAUGGUCACGGCAGGAGGUGGUGGCGGCCACGGAGCCUCAUCUGAUGUGAGGCAUUUCACUCACACACAAUCUCAUCAUACCAGGGAGGCCCACUAUGUAAUGGAACCCUGGGGAUCCUUUUGUAAUGUGAGAGCUGUCCCCAGCCAAUUCCUGGAGCUGAGUCGGACCCUAGCCCUGCCCUCUGCUGAAAGCCCUGUGCUGCCACCUGCUGGCUGCAGGGCAGCAGUGCCGCUCUCCACUGCCACGCCACCCACCUCGUGCAAGUGGAUCAUCUCGGCCUCCACUCUCUUCAGGUUCCUCUCAUUCUCUAUGGCCUGGGCCAGGAUCUCUUCGCGAGAGCGCGGGUGUCAUCCAGCUCACACAUGCAGUGUUUAACCUGGGCCUGGGGCAGGCACAGAGGCUUGGCACCCCACCCAGGGCCUUGGCCCUCGGCCCUCCACCCCCACCCUCGAGCGUCAUCUCACACACAGGGAUGGCUGUGGUCUGCUUGAUAUUUAACCAACCAUGGUGACAGGGAGAAAAAGCAACUGAGGACAAAAAUCUGCAUCCCACUUCAUAACUCACACUUUGACAGUGUUGGUCACUGUGGACGCAAGCCCAGGCUGAGCUUCAUUUUCCACUUCUGUCUCCUCUGUGGGCUAGAGACCAGUGCCCACGGUGCACCCCUAAUGCGCACCUGCCGCUUGAAACCAGUGCCCAGCCUGGCGGGUGUCCCCACCACAGGCAGGAAACACCUUUCCUUUUGUUACCCACCUCCUAUUUGUUUUAAUGCUAAAGAUUUUUGUCAAAUAUUUUUUUCCAUUUGCAGAUAACUCCAAAAACAGAUUCCCCAAGGCAAAGUGCAUGACUGGGUGUGUGCAGCCAGUCCACAGCAGCAGAACAUGCCAACAGCAGAGUAUCUGUGCCCCACAACGUUGCCCACAGUUAGCUUUUACAGAUUUUUUUUUGCCCAGGCACAGCAGCUCACGCCUGUAAUCCCAGCACUAUGGGAGGCCAAGGCUGUCAGAUCAUGAGGUCAGGAGUUUGAGACCACCCUGGCCAACACAGUGAACCGCCAUCUCUACUAAAAAUACGAAAAUUAGCCAGGCAUGAGAACACACACCUAUAAUCCCAGCUACUUGGGAGGCUGAGGCAGGAGAAUCGCCUGAACCCAAGAGGCAGAGGUUGUGGUGACACAAGAUUGCGCCACUGCACUCCAGCCUGGGCAAAAGAGCAAGACACUGACUCAAAUGUAUUUUAAACCUAUGGUUUUCUUGCUACAUGAUAUGACAUAUCAGAGCUGUUUUUAUGUGUUCAUUAUUCUUCAAUUAUUGGUGAGGUGAAAAUUUCCAAGUAUGUAUCCCACACUCUAGGCUGCUUCUCGGAACCAUCACGCCGAGCCCAGAAGGCUGGAGCGUCAGGACGCGGCUGAUGCUGGAGUCUGCACUGGGUGAGGCCUUCUGAACUCCCCCAUGCCUGGGCCUGCACUUGCCUGUUUGCUUCUGUUUCAUGUACUCAGCCAUGCACCGUUCUGCAAGUUUGCUGUUGGACUAUUGUUUCCACUCACCUCUGAGCCUGUGUCUCCAUUAGUGAGAUGAGGCUGGAGGCACCCAGGACCUUCCCAAGAGGCGCCACCUUGCCAGGUUCCUGCCCCAGCACCCUCGCAUGUAGCUGGCUCAGCUGGGCACCGCCCGCCCUUACCCGCCACUUCCGCAGCUGCUCGAUGGCUUCAUCCGGUUCUUGUUGGCCGAGUCAAUGUGCGCCUCCAGGUCCAUCUCCAGCUUCUUCCGGGCGGCCACUGCCAUGGAGUGCCUCUUCCUCUCAUCCUCCAGCUCUGCCUCCAUCUCCCGCACCUGGAGGAAGGAACACUGACAGCUUGGGAAGCUGGACCCACUCAGAGACCCUGCUCUGGCUCUGAACCCAGGUGCCUCUGCAGGAUCUGCGGGGCCUCCGGAAGCCAGUGGGCAUUACUGACUCGAAGAACUCUAAGAAGGUCCCGCUCGAACUGGAUCUUCAUGGCCUGCAGGCUGACCUCCAGCCGCAGAUUGGCGUUUUCAGUGUCCUGCAGCUCAUCCUCCAGCUCCUCCAGCUGGGUCUUCAACUCCUCCACCUGCUGCUCCAGAAGCCGCC